CUACGGUCGAAUACGUUCCCGGACCUUGCACACACCGCCCGUCAAGCCAUGGAAGCCGGGUGUACCUAAAGUCGGUAACCGUAAGGAGCCGCCUUAGGGUAAAAACUGGUUGACUGGGCUAAGUCGUAACUAAGGUACC
Molecule: ribosomal RNA, 139 nt
Filed under: uncultured bacterium
Lineage: Bacteria
Description: partial 16S ribosomal RNA
Rfam family: Bacterial small subunit ribosomal RNA
Source: RNAcentral